UACGUAGGGGGCAAGCGUUGUCCGGAAUCAUUGGGCGUAAAGCGCGUGUAGGCGGCCUUGUAAGUCCGUUCUGAAAGCCCGGGGCUCAACCCCGGGAGGCGGAUGGAUACUGCAAGGCUCGAGUACGGAAGAGGCGAGUGGAAUUCCCGGUGUAGCGGUGAAAUGCGCAGAUAUCGGGAGGAACACCAAUAGCGAAGGCAGCUCGCUGGGACGUUACUGACACUGAGGCGCGAAAGCGUGGGGAGCGAACAGG
Molecule: ribosomal RNA, 253 nt
Filed under: uncultured bacterium
Lineage: Bacteria
Description: partial 16S ribosomal RNA
Rfam family: Bacterial small subunit ribosomal RNA
Source: RNAcentral